This 492-nucleotide ribosomal RNA is filed under the name uncultured eukaryote. Its description in RNAcentral is "eukaryotic LSU rRNA". It matches the Rfam family "Eukaryotic large subunit ribosomal RNA", at positions 1339 to 1831 of the family's 3401-position model. The record is from RNAcentral.
UACCGAUACUCAACCAUUAAGGCAAAUAGAAGCUUUAAUGAGUAAGAGGGCGUGAAUACUGUGCAGAAGGCUUGGAUGUGAAUCUGGCUGGAACAGUAUUUAGUGCAGAUCUUGGUGGUAGUAGCAAAUAUUCAAAUGAGAACUUUGAAGACCGAAGUGGAGAAGGGUUCCAUGAGAACAGCAUUUGUUCAUGGGUUACUCGAUCCUAAGACAUAGGGAAAUUCCUUGUAAUACAUGCGAUCUUACGACCGCAUUGUACAAAAGGGAAUGAGGUUGAUAUUCCUCAAGCUGGAUGUGGUGGCAACGUGGCAACACAAACAAGCUCGGAAACACCGGUAUGUGCAACUGGAAGAGUUCUCUUUUCUUCUUAACAAUCUAUCUCCCUGAAUGGAUUAUCCAAAGCAAGGGAUAUAUGGUUGGCAGAGCAGUUCAUCAUAGAAUUGUCAGUGAUGCCCAUAACGGUCCUUGAAAAUCUGAGUAAGGUAUCCAAAC